This 1435-nucleotide ribosomal RNA is filed under the name uncultured marine bacterium. RNAcentral's name for it is "bacterial SSU rRNA". It matches the Rfam family "Bacterial small subunit ribosomal RNA". The record is from RNAcentral.
GAGUUUGAUCAUGGCUCAGAACGUACGCUGGCGGCACGCCUAACACAUGCAAGUCGAACGAGGUAGCAAUACUUAGUGGCAGACGGGUGAGUAACAUGUAGGUAUCUGCCCUUUGGCCUGGAAUAACACGAGGAAACUUGUGCUAAUACCGGAUAAGUCUUUACGGAGAAAGCUUUAUGCACCAUUGGAUGAGCCUGCACUUGAUUAGUUUGUUGGUGGGGUAAUGGCCUACCAAGACUGUGAUCAAUAGCUGAUUUGAGAGGAUGAUCAGCCACAUUGGGACUGAGACACGGCCCAAACUCCUACGGGAGGCAGCAGUGGGGAAUCUUGCACAAUGGAGGAAACUCUGAUGCAGCGAUGCCGCGUGAGUGAAGAAGGCCCUUGGGUUGUAAAGCUCUUUCGUCGGGGAAGAAAAUGACUGUACCCGAAUAAGAAGGUCCGGCUAACUUCGUGCCAGCAGCCGCGGUAAUACGAAGGGACCUAGCGUAGUUCGGAAUUACUGGGCUUAAAGAGUUCGUAGGUGGUUGAAAAAGUUAGUGGUGAAAUCCCAGAGCUUAACUCUGGAACUGCCAUUAAAACUUUUCAGCUAGAGUAUGAUAGAGGAAAGCAGAAUUUCUAGUGUAGAGGUGAAAUUCGUAGAUAUUAGAAAGAAUACCAAUUGCGAAGGCAGCUUUCUGGAUCAUUACUGACACUGAGGAACGAAAGCAUGGGUAGCGAAGAGGAUUAGAUACCCUCGUAGUCCAUGCCGUAAACGAUGUGUGUUAGACGUUGGAAAUUUAUUUUCAGUGUCGCAGGGAAACCGAUAAACACACCGCCUGGGGAGUACGACCGCAAGGUUAAAACUCAAAUGAAUUGACGGGGACCCGCACAAGUAGUGGAGCAUGUGGUUUAAUUCGAAGAUACGCGCAGAACCUUACCAACACUUGACAUGUUCGUCGCGACUCUAAGAGAUUAGAGUUUUCGGUUCGGCCGGACGAAACACAGGUGCUGCAUGGCUGUCGUCAGCUCGUGUCGUGAGAUGUUGGGUUAAGUCCCGCAACGAGCGCAACCCUCACUUUUAGUUGCCAUCAUUAAGUUGGGCACUCUGAAAGAACUGCCAGUGAUAAGCUGGAGGAAGGUGGGGAUGACGUCAAGUCCUCAUGGCCCUUACGUGUUGGGCUACACACGUGCUACAAUGGUAUCUACAACAAGGAGCAAGACGGCGACGUUAAGCAAAUCCCUAAAAGAUACCUCAGUUCGGAUUGCACCCUGCAACUCGAGUGCAUGAAGCUGGAAUUACUAGUAAUCGUGGAUCAGCGUGCCACGGUGAAUGCGUUCCCGGGUCUUGUACACACCGCCCGUCACACCAUGGGAGUUGGUUCUACCUUAAGGCAAGGUUUCAAACCCUUGACCACGGUAUAGUCAGCGACUGGGGUGAAGUCGUAACAAGGUAACC